RNAcentral lists this long non-coding RNA (443 nucleotides) under Gallus gallus (chicken). RNAcentral describes it as "lncRNA (ENSGALG00010026662.1)". Lineage: Eukaryota; Metazoa; Chordata; Aves; Galliformes; Phasianidae. The record is from RNAcentral.
ACUUGAAGAGAAGAUGGGAUGAAGAGCUUACAAAAAUAACUCUCCUCCUACCUUACUCUAGCAUCAGGGUACUUAGCAGUGAUUUAUUCCUGCUCACAGUCACUCCUUCUCUACACUGAGCCGCCUGGAUACAAUUAGGAAAACAUUCCAUUGGCAAAAGUGGCCUAGAAGAUCACAUUUGGUUACAGAAGAACCCAAAAGACUCAAGACAACACUCUGAAAACCAUCAAAAUGGUCUCUGAGCAUGUUCAUCUAAAUAUUAGUAACUGAAAAUUUUAUAGCAACGUUUUACUUAAUUUUCUUAACAGCAAAGCACUUGGAAAAUAUGAAAAGUUUGGUUCUAGGUAUGUUGCCAAUCUGCUUAUAGGGUCAAAAAAACCACAGUGACAUUCUCUGCUAUUUUCAUAAUACAUCACAUGUCUGACCAAAGGCCACCAAAACCA